Bubalus bubalis (water buffalo) is the source of this 2350-nucleotide long non-coding RNA. RefSeq lists it as uncharacterized. NCBI's taxonomy places the organism in Eukaryota, Metazoa, Chordata, Mammalia, Artiodactyla, Bovidae. The record is from RefSeq and is a predicted model, not a curated record. The transcript has 3 exons.
UUUAUUUACUUUUAGAUAAUUUAAAAGGGUCAUUUGUGGCUUGUGGCUACCAUAUUAGUACAGUCAGAGGGAUGUAAUUUCUAAAUUUCCUUCUGUCUUGCCAUCUUCUUAGAAACAUCAGCUCAUGUCCUCUACACAGGGUAUCAUAUCUUCCUGGUUAAAAACUUGCUUUGAGAAAAAUUCCUGGAGGUCCCCCCCCCCCCCCCCGCACGGUAUUUUGGGGAGAUGGAGCUGAACACCAGCAUCACUAUUUCUUUUCUUUUACAAAGAACGUAAGCUGACAUUCCCCUCCGUGGGCACCCAUUCCUCUCCCACCACCUAUCACAUUGGUGAGGGCAUUGAAACCAGCUUUUAGUUUUAUUGGAGACAAUAAGCUGUUAGCAACAAAGUGCCUAUUUAUACCUACUCCGUGGCGAGUUGUGUUGAUUUAUGUGUUGUUAACGACAACUAGACAUCAUACCACUCGUUAAAGAAUUAAUACUGUGGAUGGGGGAAUAAAGUAUUUCCCAAAGUAUGUUCCAAGCAACCUCAGAUGGAUGAUGUGCGCUCUACGAAGGCACGGUGGCCACAUUCAUUUUGGGAAGUCUGUGUUUGGUCUUACUCUUGCAGGUAUGCAAUCUAUUUUAAUAGGUCUCAUCUUUAAUUGUGUAAUAGCCAGUUCUUUUAGCUACAAAAGCAAGUUUACUUGGGAACAGCCAGAGGAAUUGCCAUUUCGGCUAUAUAAAAAUGGCAGAUUGUAGGCAAAUCCAGAGAACAAAGAAGGGGAAUUUGCUUUUAUAAGGAAAUAGGGUGAAGGAUGUUGAGAAAGGGCUAUAAAAACCACAGAGUCCAUUGGAGGAGAUUAGGAGCCCAGUGUAUGGAGGCUUCUCAUUGGUGGAGUUGCCCCAGUCUCUGAUUGGCUGGGCUGUCAGGCCAAGAGCCGUCUUCCUCUUCCUGCUGGAUCGCAGAACAGGUGACAGCUCCCUGUGGGAGAUGCAGGUACUGUCUCGUCCUGCGUGGAGUCAUUGGCUGUGCAUGGCAGGGACACGGGACCUCCACCUUCGGGCCUGUCUUGACUCCAGUUUUACCGGAAGUUUCAUUAAUUCUACACACGCUUCUAACCCUCGUGACACCUGGACACGCUCUCACUAACUUCACAAGCCACAGGCUUGUUCAUUCAGCAUGGAGAAGGGUUUCUGUAUCAAGACUCUCCCUUUGACUUCCAGUUCAAGAUGAUGGAAUAGAAGAAUGUGUGCUUACCUCUUUGAGAAAACCAAAAUUGCAACUAGCUACUGAACAACCAUCGACAGGAGGACACUGGAACCCACCAAAAGAGGUACCUCACGUCCAAAGACAAAGAAGAAGUCCUAACAAGACACAGGCAAGAUCUUAGUUCCCCAACCAGGGAUUGAACUCCCACCACCUGCACUGGAAGCUUGGAGUCUCAACCACUGGACAGCCGUGAAAGUCCCUCAGAUUUCUUUUUGAAUCGUAGUUUUCAGUGUUAUAAAGCCUCUUGAGACAGUCUGUCCUCAAGGGACCAAAAUGAAAAAAAAAAAAAAAAAAAAAAAGAGUCUGCUGCUGAGGAAAGGAACUGUGGAUGGUGAUCAAGAAGAAAUUCCUCUUCUGGUUAGUUUUAUUUCUCUUGUGACGUCUAAGUAGUAUGAAGUAGGCUGGUAAUUCAAUCCUAGAAGGAAAUUGGAAUAUUCAAGAAACAAUUUGUUGUCGCAGUCCCAUCAAACUUGGCUCUUCCAGUGGCAGUGAGAAGCUCCAUCCUGGAUACUGCUUUAAGUGUACUGCUUGCUGAAGCUGAAGCUCCAGGACCUUGGCCACCUGAUGCAAAGAGCCCAUUUAUUGGCAGAGACCCUGAUGCUGGGAAAGAUUGAGGGCAGGAGGAGAAGGGUGCAACAGAGGAUGAGAUGGUUGGAUGGCAUCACCGAUUCGAUGGACGUAAGUCUGAGCAAACUGAGCGAUAGUGAAGUCUUGCAUGCUUGGAGAUGGGGAAGCCUGGCGUGCUGCAGUUAGUGAGGUCCCAAAGAGUUGGACAUGACUGAGCCACUGAACAACAGCAGCUUAGACUGUUUCAUUUUCCUUGCCCAUCCCCCACCUUUUCCCUCCACCCAACCCUGGUGCAGAGUAGGUGCUUUUACCCAGGAAUGUGGAGAUGCUACACAGAGAAGCAUAAAGAGACCUAGACAAGUAGUCAGGGCAUUUGACCAAGCUCAUCCAGCUAACAAGAGGCAGGGGUAGGAUUUUAACCCAGAGCAUCUGUUUUCAGCCUGUUCACUGCCCUGUUUCACCAGCUGCCUGCUCCACUGCUAAGAAGUUGAAAGCCCAGGAAAAGCUUGUUGCUUUUCAUCACCAAUCCCGC